Molecule: ribosomal RNA, 254 nt
Filed under: uncultured bacterium
Lineage: Bacteria
Description: partial small subunit ribosomal RNA
Rfam family: Bacterial small subunit ribosomal RNA
Source: RNAcentral
AGGACGAACGCUGGCGGCGUGCUUAACACAUGCAAGUCGAGCGGAAAGGCCCUUCGGGGUACUCGAGCGGCGAACGGGUGAGUAACACGUGAGUAAUCUGCCCCUAGCUCUGGGAUAGCUCCGGGAAACCGGGAUUAAUACCGGAUAUGACCACUUUAGACAUCUGCUGUGGUGGAAAGAAUUUCGGCUAGGGAUGAGCUCGCGGCCUAUCAGCUUGUUGGUGGGGUAACGGCCUACCAAGGCGACGACAGGUA